Molecule: non-coding RNA, 3735 nt
Organism: Caretta caretta (loggerhead turtle)
Lineage: Eukaryota; Metazoa; Chordata; Testudines; Cheloniidae
Source: RefSeq, a predicted model, not a curated record
CUGGGCCUCCAUCGCCCCAGCCCUGGCCGAGCCAGCCCUGUGGUCUCACGCUGCGCACGGGAAGGGGUGCCCUCCCUGCGGAUCGACGAUUUCCCCCGUCCCCAUUUAUUACAGCAGCACCAAGCGGGCACCCCGAAGAGCCGACGCUGGAAAUCGGCCAGACGGACCCCGGGCGGGAGAACGGCCAGAACGAGCUGUCCCAUGCGAGUGCCCCAUGACUUGUCUUCUUCGUGGGGAUGGGAUUCCGGGCUGGCGGAGUGGGAAGAGAGAAUCCAGGGCUCUGGACAGCCAGCUAGCCCCACUCCUCUGGAGCCCAGACUCCCCCAGCUACCAGCGCCCCACAGCUGGGCUGCAAGGAGCUCAUUGAGAGGAGACCAAAGAGCCCUCUGAUGGAUGUGCCCAAGAAACCAGCCUGCUGCCUGGCUGAGGAUGGAGCCCCCCGGCCGCCCCAGUGCGAUGGGACAGGGAAUGGUGUAUGGGCCCUGUCAAUGCUUUUCACUGACCACUUCCCUCCCUCACUGUGGAUCUCAAGGCACUUUAAGGAGUUCAUCCUCCCAGCUCCUCUGGGCGAUGUGGAUGCCCCGGACCCAGAGGAGGAAGAGGAGGAGGAUGUGGGGAAAGUGGGCUUCACGGAAGAGGACGACAAACAGCUGGACCUGACGGACCAGGAGAUGGACGACCUGAGGGCCCAGGUGCUGCAGCUGCUGAAGGAGCUGGAGGAGACGCGGGAGCUGGCAAUGAAGCACGAGGAUGACUCACUGGAGCUACAGGGCUUGUUGGAGGACGAGCGACUGGCCAGUGCCCGGCAGGCUGAGAUCUUCACCAAACAGAUCCAGAGGCUCCAAGCUCAGAUGCGCACGCUGAAGGAUGAGUUCAGCACCCUGCAGGAUAUGAAGGAGUCGGAGCUGGAGCAGGUGGAGCGGGAGCUGCAGGAGGCCAACGAAGAGAUCCACGGCCUGCGGCUGGAGGCGGAGGAGGUGGCUGCCAUCCACGAGAACGAGAUCGCCGCCCUGCAGGAGCAGCUGUGCCGGCUGCAGGCCGAGCUGCAGCGCUUCCAGAGGGUCCGCGAGGAGUACGAGACGGAGAUCACCACCCUGCGCGCCGAGAUCACGAUGAAGGCCAGCGGCCAGGCCCGGGCUGAGGGCCCCGCUGACAAGCUGGCUGUGCUCCAAGAGGAGCUGCUGUCCCUGCGGGAGCAGUACCGGGACCUGACAGAGGAGUACCAGACCCUGCAAGAGAGCAACAAGAUCAUGGUGCACCAUCUGGAGAACCUGGAAGCCCAGAAGUACAGAUCCAGGAGCAGGUCGGAAGAGUCUCACAAGUCGACGGACUCGGAAGUGAUCCAUGCCCCGGUGUGCCGGACCCUCUCUCCCCGGCGCGCCAGCCCCCGCCUGAGCGGCAGCGUCUCCUUCAAGAUGGUGGACAACACGAGAACCAUCAGCGCCCCCAGCCCCAAGGAGCCCCUGAGCCAGGACGAGGAGGACGACUCCGAGCUGAGCCUGCGCUUCAAGCUGCAGAGCGAGGAGGAGAAGGUGCAGCUGGCCCAGAGCAAGUGUGACAACAUGCAGACCGAGCUGCGGGAACUGCAGCGGCAGUAUCAGGCCAUCCAGCAGGAGCGCCAGCAGCUGCAGGAGGAGCUGAGGCUGUGCCGGGCGGAAAUCCAGAGACUCAACGGCACCGUCCCCGCUGACGGGCGGAGCCACCCCGCCCCCGAGAUCUCCCUCCCCUCAUAGGACUGGUUGUUAUAGUGGCUCUGCUCUGGUGCUGGUGGGCCGAGACCUCUUCCUAAUGCGGAUCAGGUCCCGGCCGGGGGGCUGAAGCCCAUCAUCCUCUUUGCGGUAGCUGCGGUUGCCUUGCUUCUGUACCCCUGCCUGAAGCGGUCCUGCGCCAGCUCCAUGCCAGCCUGAGGAGCGCUGUGCCCGGGCCAUGCCACACACGCAAGCCAGAUCCGCCCCUUACCCCCCAUGGCCUGCUGCCACUGGGAGGGCUGGAGACCCUUGCUCCAGCCCCCCUCAGUGCAUGGAGGUCACCCCCCUUCCCCCGGUCAGUCACGCCAUGGCAGCAUCUGCCCCCUCGUUACUGCAUCGGGGCUCAGGGUCAGGGACACUGUGUCUGUGGGGCAGGGAAGGGAGACUCCAGCCUCCUGCAGGUCAGCCCAGGAUGCUGCUCUGGUGGGUGCGUGGAUGUGCGGGGUGGCUGGGAUAGGGAGGGGGUGGGCUGCAGGCCCCGGGGGAGAGUGAGGGGCUCCCUGGAAAGCAGCCUCAGCCAUCCCUGGUGCUCCCCCCUCUGAGCUGGGUCCGGUCCCAUUGGAUCAUAGCACCAACUAGUGGGGAGGUGGGGGGUACAAGGGAUCCCUGCCAUCGACUCCCCAAACAGAACCUGUUCCAGUGGAGCCCCAGCCCCCGUUCUGCCCCCUCCAUCCCAGCCCCCGCCCUGACCCCCCUCCAUCCCAGCCCCCACCCUGACCCACACUGCUCCCCUGCCAUCCCAGCCCCCGCCCUGCCAUGGGGGAGCUGGGAUCCCAAGGGAACCCCAGCCAGGGCUCUGGUCCAGUCCCUGCUGAUUGGCGCCAUUUCCAGCGUGAGUCUGGUUCCCAGCCAGGCCAGCCCAGCUGCGCCGGGAGCCCCUCUGUGUGCCCCGCCAGGGGAGGUUCACGUUGCCUGGUUCUCGGUGCCCCUAUGUGGCCACUGCCAUGGAGCAUUGUUACCUCGGACAAGCUGCCGACAGCCUGGGAGUGGCAGGAUAGGCUUUGGCCGGGGUAGGGAGGAUGGGCACCAGCCUGCCACCCCCCCCUUCUGCCAGGGACUGUGCCAGGUCUCCACCCUACACUUCCACCGAAGCCCAGUCCUUCCGAACUUGCGCCCACCUCUUCCUCCCCACUCCCCUCUCCAGAACACAUUGGCUCCUCUCCAGAUCAGCCCGAGGGGGGUGCUAGAGACCAAUACCCAAAGCUCCCCGCCCCACCCACCAGAACCCUGCCCCCUGCUGGCCCGGCACUCGGCGUGAUCCACUGCAAUAAAUUGAAAACCAAGGAGGUCACGUGGUGCUUGAAGCAGCGGGCAAGCCUGGGCCAGGGUUUUUAGUUGGCAAUAUUUAAAAUCUGUCUUUACACUUGUGCUCCAUGUCUGGGAAGGUUUGACUGUCUCGGUGCCAUUCAGCAGGGAAGACCCAGGUGCCAGACAGUCCCUAGGGAGAGAGAUUUAUUUAUUUUUAAAGCGGGAGCCCUCAUGGUUUCCUCGUCUCCACCCGGGCGUUGCAUCUUGCUGUCACCCCUUUGCCCGAGGGCCCCUGCUACAAACCUUCCCCCGUCACCUCAUUUCAAUGUUAGUGCACCCCUUUCUUCUGCCCUCGGCAUGCAAGCCGUGGGCGCUGGCCCCAGGGCUGUGUGGGUGGCGUUUGCAAGCUCACUGGUAUCACGACUGCUCGUGACCGGUCAGCACGGACGGGCAGGGAGGGGGCCGUUGAAGAGAAAGGGGCUCUCAUGGGGGCUUCAAAAUGGCCCCGAAGCUUGACACCUUUCCCUGGGCAUGUAUUCUGGAAGUGCCUGCAUUUGGGCUGCAGGAGCUGACCUGGCCCCAUGGCCGGCUCCUGUUCUGGUCUGUCCCCGCCCAGCCCUGCGUCCCUGCUCUCCAACUGGAGCUGCGGCUGCCCCCCCCCCCCACUCGCGUGCUUGGGGGCUCCCUCUCUUUGUGGUUGUUGAAUGUUGUAACUUGGUAAAAGAACUUUCUAAAUCCA